AGAGUUUGUUCCUGGCUCAGGACGAACGCUGGCGGCGCGCCUAACACAUGCAAGUCGAACGAGCGAGAGAGAGCUUGCUUUCUCGAGCGAGUGGCGAACGGGUGAGUAACGCGUGAGGAACCUGCCUCAAAGAGGGGGACAACAGUUGGAAACGACUGCUAAUACCGCAUAAGCCCACGGGUCGGCAUCGACCAGAGGGAAAAGGAGCAAUCCGCUUUGAGAUGGCCUCGCGUCCGAUUAGCUAGUUGGUGAGGUAACGGCCCACCAAGGCGACGAUCGGUAGCCGGACUGAGAGGUUGAACGGCCACAUUGGGACUGAGACACGGCCCAGACUCCUACGGGAGGCAGCAGUGGGGAAUAUUGCACAAUGGGGGAAACCCUGAUGCAGCGACGCCGCGUGGAGGAAGAAGGUCUUCGGAUUGUAAACUCCUGUUGUUGGGGAAGAUAAUGACGGUACCCAACAAGGAAGUGACGGCUAACUACGUGCCAGCAGCCGCGGUAAAACGUAGGUCACAAGCGUUGUCCGGAAUUACUGGGUGUAAAGGGAGCGCAGGCGGGAAGACAAGUUGGAAGUGAAAUCUAUGGGCUCAACCCAUAAACUGCUUUCAAAACUGUUUUUCUUGAGUAGUGCAGAGGUAGGCGGAAUUCCCGGUGUAGCGGUGGAAUGCGUAGAUAUCGGGAGGAACACCAGUGGCGAAGGCGGCCUACUGGGCACCAACUGACGCUGAGGCUCGAAAGUGUGGGUAGCAAACAGGAUUAGAUACCCUGGUAGUCCACACCGUAAACGAUGAUUACUAGGUGUUGGAGGAUUGACCCCUUCAGUGCCGCAGUUAACACAAUAAGUAAUCCACCUGGGGAGUACGACCGCAAGGUUGAAACUCAAAGGAAUUGACGGGGGCCCGCACAAGCGGAGGAACAUGUGGUUUAAUUCGAUGAUACGCGAGGAACCUUACCCGGGCUUAAAUUGCAGAUGAAUUACGGUGAAAGCCGUAAGCCGCAAGGCAUCUGUGAAGGUGCUGCAUGGUUGUCGUCAGCUCGUGCCGUGAGGUGUCGGCUUAAGUGCCAUAACGAGCGCAACCCUUGUUGUCAGUUACUAACAGGUUCCGCUGAGGACUCUGACAAGACUGCCAUCGUAAGAUGUGAGGAAGGUGGGGAUGACGUCAAAUCAGCACGGCCCUUACGUCCGGGGCUACACACGUGUUACAAUGGGGGGUACAGAGGGCCGCUACCACGCGAGUGGAUGCCAAUCCCCAAAACCUCUCUCAGUUCGGACUGGAGUCUGCAACCCGACUCCACGAAGCUGGAUUCGCUAGUAAUCGCGCAUCAGCCACGGCGCGGUGAAUACGUUCCCGGGCCUUGCACACACCGCCCGUCA
RNAcentral lists this ribosomal RNA (1375 nucleotides) under uncultured bacterium. RNAcentral's name for it is "bacterial SSU rRNA". It matches the Rfam family "Bacterial small subunit ribosomal RNA". The record is from RNAcentral.